RNAcentral lists this ribosomal RNA (1280 nucleotides) under uncultured organism. RNAcentral describes it as "bacterial SSU rRNA". It matches the Rfam family "Bacterial small subunit ribosomal RNA", at positions 93 to 1404 of the family's 1533-position model. The record is from RNAcentral.
CAGUGGCGAACGGGUGCGUAACACGUUGGUGACCUGCCUUGAGGAGGGGGACAACCGUGGGAAACCACGGCUAAUACCCCGGAUGUCUAAACUGUUAGAGGGUUUAGACUAAAACUUCGGUGCCUCAAGAGGGGCCUGCGGGCUAUCAGCUUGUUGGUGGGGUAAUGGCCUACCAAGGCUAAGACGGCUAGGGGGCGUGAGAGCGCGACCCCCCACAAUGGAACUGAGACACGGUCCAUACUCCUACGGGAGGCAGCAGUGAGGAAUAUUGCGCAAUGGGGGAAACCCUGACGCAGCAACGCCGCGUGAACGAUGAAGGCCUUCGGGUCGUAAAGUUCUUUUCUAAGGGAAGAUAGUGACGGUACCUUAGGAAUAAGUCCCGGCUAACUACGUGCCAGCAGCCGCGGUAAAACGUAGGGGGCGAGCGUUAUCCGGAUUUAUUGGGCGUAAAGCGCACGUAGGUGGCGCUGUAAGUUAGACGUGAAAGCUCUCGGCUCAACUGAGAGAGGUCGUUUAAAACUGCAGUGCUUGAGGUUAGAAGAGGAGAGCAGAAUUCCCGGUGUAGUGGUGGAAUGCGUAGAUAUCGGGAGGAAUACCAGUGGCGAAGGCGGCUCUCUAGUCUACACCUGACACUGAGGUGCGAAAGCGUGGGUAGCGAACGGGAUUAGAUACCCGGUAGUCCACGCUGUAACGAUGGAUACUAGUGUAGGGGGUCAUGUAACCCCUCUGUGCCGAAGCAAACGCGUUAAGUAUCCCGCCUGGUGAUUACGGCCGCAAGGCUUAUACUCUAUAGGAAUUUACGGGGGCCCGCACAAGCAGCGGAGCGUGUGGUUUAAUUCGUAUGAUACGCGAAGAACCUUACCUGGGCUGAACUACGUGGUAGUAGUGUAGCGAAAGCGGAUCGACCCUUCGGGGAGCCUCGAUAGGUGCUGCAUGUCUGUCGUCAGCUCGUGUCGUGAGAUGUUGGGUUAUAGUCCCGCAACGAGCGCUACCCUCGUCGCUAGUUACAAGUGUCUAGCGAGUCUGCCGGUAUCAUACCGGUAGGUAGGUGGGGUAUGACGUCAAGUCAGCAUGGUCUUUAUGUCCAGGGCUACACACACGCUACAAUGGUCGGUACAAUAGGUUGCCACACCGCGAGGUGGAGCUAAUCCUCAAAGCCGAUCUCAGUUCGGAUUGUAGUCUGCUACUCGACUACAUGAAGGCGGAGUUGCUAGUAACCGCGCGUCAGCAUAGUGCGGUGAAUGCGUUCCCGGGCAUUGUACACACCGCCCGUCACAUCA